AUGAACGCUGGCGGCGUGCCUAAUACAUGCAAGUCGAGCGAACAGACGAGGAGCUUGCUCCUCUGACGUUAGCGGCGGACGGGUGAGUAACACGUGGAUAACCUACCUAUAAGACUGGGAUAACUUCGGGAAACCGGAGCUAAUACCGGAUAAUAUAUUGAACCGCAUGGUUCAAUAGUGAAAGACGGUUUUGCUGUCACUUAUAGAUGGAUCCGCGCCGCAUUAGCUAGUUGUUAAGGUAACGGCUUACCAAGGCAACGAUGCGUAGCCGACCUGAGAGGGUGAUCGGCCACACUGGAACUGAGACACGGUCCAGACUCCUACGGGAGGCAGCAGUAGGGAAUCUUCCGCAAUGGGCGAAAGCUUGACGGAGCAACGCCGCGUGAGUGAUGAAGGUCUUCGGAUCGUAAAACUCUGUUAUUAGGGAAGAACAAAUGUGUAAGUAACUAUGCACGUCUUGACGGUACCUAAUCAGAAAGCCACGGCUAACUACGUG
This 496-nucleotide ribosomal RNA is filed under the name uncultured bacterium. RNAcentral describes it as "partial 16S ribosomal RNA". It matches the Rfam family "Bacterial small subunit ribosomal RNA", at positions 29 to 507 of the family's 1533-position model. The record is from RNAcentral.